Molecule: unclassified non-coding RNA, 638 nt
Filed under: Bradyrhizobium sp.
Lineage: Bacteria; Pseudomonadati; Pseudomonadota; Alphaproteobacteria; Hyphomicrobiales; Nitrobacteraceae
Also listed under: 1 other name
Description: partial 16S-23S ribosomal RNA intergenic spacer
Rfam family: Bacterial large subunit ribosomal RNA (bases 518-638)
Source: RNAcentral
CGGAGUUCAGUCUUCCCAGGCCCACCACUUUCAUCGAGUGAGCAUUCGUCUUCUGGUUACGGGGCCAUAGCUCAGCUGGGAGAGCGCGUGCUUUGCAAGCAUGAGGUCGUCGGUUCGAUCCCGUCUGGCUCCACCAGAUGGUUUGAUCACCGAGAUCUUGACCGUCGUCCGCGAAACAUCACUUCGCAUCCUGCUAGUCUGGAUAGACAGCAGUUUGCGUGUUUUCUGACAUCGUAAAGAGGAGAUCGAUCCGAGUUGGGUCGUGCAGCAUAUCGUUGCGCGAGCCUUCAUUAUCUCCGGAUCAUUUCGGCGCUCGCUUCCAGCCGUGAGGUUGGAUGCGGGUUGUAAAUGAUCCUUUUAGCGAAGCUUGACCGCCUCGCUAUCGGAACGAUCUUACGAAGCAAGCUGGUCUUUCUAGUCAAUGUCCGGCUGCGGAUAGCGUUCAUCGAGGGCGCGUGCCGCAAGGCAAUUCUGCAGACAACAUUCUGCCGAGUGUGUGGACAUUGAUAAUGAGAGCAAUCAAGUGCCUUAAGGGUGUUCGGUGGAUGCCUUGGCGCUGAGAGGCGAUGAAGGACGUGCUACGCUGCGAUAAGCCGUGGGGAGCUGCGAAGAAGCUUUGAUCCGCGGAUUUCCGAAGG